UACGAAGGGUGCAAGCGUUGUCCGGAAUCACUGGGCGUAAAGGGCGCGUAGGUGGCUAGGUAAGCGUGUGGUGAAAGUCCAGGGCUCAACCCCGGAUCUGCCGUGCGAACUGCCAAGCUCGAGCAAUGUAGAGGCAGGUGGGAUUUCGGGUGUAGCGGUGGAAUGCGUAGAUAUCCGAAAGAACACCAGUGGCGAAGGCGGCCUGCUGGGCAUUUGCUGACACUGAGGCGCGACAGCGUGGGGAGCAAAC
Molecule: ribosomal RNA, 250 nt
Filed under: uncultured bacterium
Lineage: Bacteria
Description: partial 16S ribosomal RNA
Rfam family: Bacterial small subunit ribosomal RNA
Source: RNAcentral